RNAcentral lists this ribosomal RNA (305 nucleotides) under uncultured bacterium. RNAcentral describes it as "bacterial SSU rRNA". It matches the Rfam family "Bacterial small subunit ribosomal RNA", at positions 336 to 639 of the family's 1533-position model. The record is from RNAcentral.
UUCCUACGGGACGCAGCAGUGAGGAAUAUUGGUCAAUGGGAGAGAUCCUGAACCAGCCAAGCCGCGUGAUGGAAGACGGCCCUAUGGGUUGUAAACCUCUUUUGUCGGAGAACAAAACCCGGGACGUGUCCCGGACUGCGUGUAUCCGAAGAAAAAGCAUCGGCUAACUCCGUGCCAGCAGCCGCGGUAAUACGGAGGAUGCGAGCGUUAUCCGGAUUUAUUGGGUUUAAAGGGUGCGUAGGCGGUCCGUUAAGUCAUCGGUAAAAUUGCGGGGCUCAACCCCGUCAAGCCGUUGAAACUGUCAG